UAAGUGUCUGGGAAGCUGCCUGAUGGAGGGGGAUAACUGCUGGAAACGGGGGCUAAUACCGCAUAAUGUCGCAAGACCAAAGAGGGGGACCUUCGGGCCUCUUGCCAUCGGAUGUGCCCAGAUGGGAUUAGCUAGUAGGUGGGGUAACGGCUCACCUAGGCGACGAUCCCUAGCUGGUCUGAGAGGAUGACCAGCCACACUGGAACUGAGACACGGUCCAG
This 221-nucleotide ribosomal RNA is filed under the name uncultured bacterium. RNAcentral describes it as "partial 16S ribosomal RNA". It matches the Rfam family "Bacterial small subunit ribosomal RNA", at positions 110 to 334 of the family's 1533-position model. The record is from RNAcentral.